UCAGGAUGAACGCUAGCUACAGGCUUAACACAUGCAAGUCGAGGGGCAGCAUUGGAGUAGCAAUACUCAGAUGGCGACCGGCGCACGGGUGAGUAACACGUAUCCAACCUGCGCUUACUCGGGGAUAGCCUUUCGAAAGAAAGAUUAAUACCCGAUGGGUAUAAAGAGUUCGCAUGUUCUCUUUAUUAAAGAAUUUCGGUAAGCGAUGGGGAUGCGUUCCAUUAGAUAGGUUGGCGGGGUAACGGCCCACCAAGUCUACGAUGGAUAGGGGUUCUGAGAGGAAGGUCCCCCACAUUGGAACUGAGACACGGUCCAAACUCCUACGGGAGGCAGCAGUGAGGAAUAUUGGUCAAUGGACGAGAGUCUGAACCAGCCAAGUAGCGUGAAGGAUGACUGCCCUAUGGGUUGUAAACUUCUUUUAUAAAGGGAAUAAAGUGAGGGACGUGUCCCUUUUUGUAUGUACCUUAUGAAUAAGGAUCGGCUAACUCCGUGCCAGCAGCAGC
This 503-nucleotide ribosomal RNA is filed under the name uncultured bacterium. RNAcentral describes it as "bacterial SSU rRNA". It matches the Rfam family "Bacterial small subunit ribosomal RNA", at positions 24 to 518 of the family's 1533-position model. The record is from RNAcentral.